RNAcentral lists this ribosomal RNA (529 nucleotides) under uncultured bacterium. RNAcentral describes it as "bacterial SSU rRNA". It matches the Rfam family "Bacterial small subunit ribosomal RNA", at positions 261 to 807 of the family's 1533-position model. The record is from RNAcentral.
CGGACCACCAAGGCGACGAUCAGUAGCCGGCUUGAGAGAGUGAACGGCCACAUUGGGACUGAGACACGGCCCAAACUCCUACGGGAGGCAGCAGUGGGGAAUAUUGCACAAUGGGGGAAACCCUGAUGCAGCAACGCCGCGUGAGUGAAGAAGUAUUUCGGUAUGUAAAGCUCUAUCAGCAGGGAAGAAAAUGACGGUACCUGACUAAGAAGCCCCGGCUAACUACGUGCCAGCAGCCGCGGUAAUACGUAGGGGGCAAGCGUUAUCCGGAUUUACUGGGUGUAAAGGGAGCGCAGGCGGUCUGUCAAGUCUGAUGUGAAAUCCCGGGGCUCAACCCUGGAACUGCAUUGGAAACUGUCAGACUAGAGUGCCGGAGAGGUAAGUGGAAUUCCUAGUGUAGCGGUGAAAUGCGUAGAUAUUAGGAGGAACACCAGUGGCGAAGGCGGCUUACUGGACGGUAACUGACGCUGAGGCUCGAAAGCGUGGGGAGCAAACAGGAUUAGAUACCCUGGUAGUCCACGCCGUAAAC